GGCUUGGUUUAGUUCCUCCUUUUUUUCUGUCUGACUUCACAUCCAGCCUCAAAGGAGUGACUGUGUGCAUCAGUAAAUCCAAACCAGUCUCUGAAUGUCAUUUAACAACUGUCCCUGGAGUCCUGAGCUGUCAAAACUCAGGUAGUAUACACACUGGUUUCAUAUACAUAUUUCAUACAUCCAAUUUGUAACUAUUAUAUCUAAAUUUUAACCAUCUGAUGUAAACUUGUGAGACUUUACUGGUAUUAAACAUUUACUUUUUAGUUCUAAACAGUGCUUUCCCAAAUAAUUACCUAUUCAAACUGCACUUAUUUCUGCCAUUGAUAUAGCAGAAGGUGGUAAUAGACAAGAAAUGCACAGUUUUAUACCAUCUUGCUGUUAACAUUUCCGCAGGCACCAUGGCAUUCCUACAGCUUGAACCACUGUAGUUGAAAAACCCACCUUACAGCAGGCUUGAGUAACCCCACUGGUUAAGAAACCCAUGCUGAACCAUGCACUCUUUGAACAUUACAGACCAGUUUCUCUCCUCCCCUUCAUAGCAAAAGCACUUGAACAAGCCGUGUUCAACCAGGUCUCCUCUUUUCUCAUCCAGAACAAUCUGCUAGACAGCAACCAAUCUGGCUUAAAAAAUAGCUGUUUGUCAACGAAGCUCUACGGCUGGCAAGAGCAGAAUCCAAAUAGUCUGUUCUCAUUCUGCUAGAUUUGUCUGCUCCUUUCGACAUGGUACACCACCAGAUCGUCCUUUCCACCUUCUCAACCAUGGGCAUUACGGGAACCACACUCCGCUGGUUUGAGUCUUAGCUCACAGCCUGAUGAUCCUAUGGUUGCUGCACGGAUCUCAGCCUGCCUGGUAGACAUCUCGUACUGGAUGGAAAAACACCAGCUCCAACUGAACCGAGCAAAGAUGGAACUUGUCGUUGUUACAGCGAGCCCAGCUAUACAACA
Long non-coding RNA from Myxocyprinus asiaticus (Chinese sucker), 945 nucleotides. RefSeq lists it as uncharacterized. The record is from RefSeq and is a predicted model, not a curated record. The transcript has 3 exons. NCBI's taxonomy places the organism in Eukaryota, Metazoa, Chordata, Actinopteri, Cypriniformes, Catostomidae.